GACGUAGGAGGCGAGCGUUGUCCGGAUUCAUUGGGCGUAAAGAGCGCGCAGGCGGCUUGGUAAGUCGGAUGUGAAAACCCGAGGCUCAACCUCGGGCGUGCAUCCGAUACUGCUCGGCCAGAGGUAGGUAGGGGAGAUCGGAAUUCCUGGUGUAGCGGUGAAAUGCGCAGAUAUCAGGAGGAACACCGGUGGCGAAGGCGGAUCUCUGGGCCUUACCUGACGCUCAGGCGCGAAAGCUAGGGGAGCGAACUGG
This 253-nucleotide ribosomal RNA is filed under the name uncultured bacterium. RNAcentral's name for it is "partial 16S ribosomal RNA". It matches the Rfam family "Bacterial small subunit ribosomal RNA", at positions 524 to 776 of the family's 1533-position model. The record is from RNAcentral.